AAUAUUAUCCGACAAAAAAAGUAACUAUUUUAUGAAAAAUUAGAAAAAAAAAAAAAUUAAACUUACCUCUACUGCUAGGAGGGAAUUUCAGCUGUGGGGUUUGGGGACAUUGCUGGGAUAUGGGUUUUAAUUUUAUAUAAUAUUAUCCGACAAAGUCCGUCCCCUCGCACUACAGCUAGAUGCUAUCAUUAAUAGCAUCCACCUCAUGACACCCCUGAGCAUGUUAAUGCCAAACGCCAUAAGUAGCUAAUGCUACUAUUACUAGAGAAUGCCACUUGUUUAUUGUUUUUUUACUAUUCAAUGAUUUUUUUUUUAUCAUUUUUCACUUGUUGGACACUACCAUAACUAGAGCCUAUCUCCCUCUCUCCUCCAUAUCAGCUAAGCUCACCCCCUUUUGGUAAAUAAUGUAACCCCCUUUUGGUAUUUUGUUUUCAGAAAGACAAUCUUUUGGAAAAAAGCCCCAAUGCCCCAACAGUGCGACAUCACAAUAGAUAUUGCAUAUUUAAACCUUAUUGUACCAUGCUUCUCUUUUGACAUUGUUUCACACUCUAUUAGAUUCAUCGAAAGGCCAUUUAAAAAUUUUUAGCAACAGCUAAUGCUAAUUGCAAUACAAACUUUUUGAAGCCAGCGCAUAUGCUAGUUCUUUAUUUAACAAGGAUUAAGAGUUCUCUAUGAUGAUUAAGAGUAUAGAAGCUCAUAUAUUUCUUAUUAAUAUUCAGAUUAUAAUAUGCAAAACAAAAGCAUGGCUUAUAUCUGUUUUAAACUUAGGAAAGUUAA
This 777-nucleotide unclassified non-coding RNA is filed under the name Hevea brasiliensis (rubber tree). The record is from RNAcentral. Lineage: Eukaryota; Viridiplantae; Streptophyta; Magnoliopsida; Malpighiales; Euphorbiaceae.